RNAcentral lists this ribosomal RNA (484 nucleotides) under uncultured bacterium. RNAcentral describes it as "partial 16S ribosomal RNA". It matches the Rfam family "Bacterial small subunit ribosomal RNA", at positions 30 to 507 of the family's 1533-position model. The record is from RNAcentral.
AUUGAACGCUGGCGGCAGGCCUAACACAUGCAAGUCGAGCGGAUGAAGGGAGCUUGCUCCUGGAUUCAGCGGCGGACGGGUGAGUAAUGCCUAGGAAUCUGCCUGGUAGUGGGGGAUAACGUCCGGAAACGGGCGCUAAUACCGCAUACGUCCUGAGGGAGAAAGUGGGGGAUCUUCGGACCUCACGCUAUCAGAUGAGCCUAGGUCGGAUUAGCUAGUUGGUGGGGUAAAGGCCUACCAAGGCGACGAUCCGUAACUGGUCUGAGAGGACGAUCAGUCACACUGGAACUGAGACACGGUCCAGACUCCUACGGGAGGCAGCAGUGGGGAAUAUUGGACAAUGGGCGAAAGCCUGAUCCAGCCAUGCCGCGUGUGUGAAGAAAGUCUUCGGAUUGUAAAGCACUUUAAGUUGGGAGGAAGGGCAGUAAGUUAAUACCUUGCUGUUUUGACGUUACCAACAGAAUAAGCACCGGCUAACUUCGUG